RNAcentral lists this small RNA (282 nucleotides) under marine eukaryotic metagenome. Its description in RNAcentral is "5' ureB small RNA". It matches the Rfam family "5' ureB small RNA". The record is from RNAcentral.
CUGCUGGGGGGCAAUGAAAUGGAUGUGAGCAUCGAUACCCCCAGCAGUCAGGACAAAACCCUCUCCAGCAAUCGCCUCCGUGGUCACGCCAACGACCAUGUCGUGAGAUACCCCAGCCAUGACAUCUGGGUUUCCUGCCUUUCCUAUGCCAGCAAUUCUCCCAUUCUUGAUCCCUACAUCAGCUUUACGAAUCCCAGUCCAGUCGAUGAUGAGAGCGUUUGUUAUCACACAGUCGAGAGCCCUCGAGUCUGGCACUCCAGCAGCCUGCCCCAUCCCAUCCCG